Molecule: ribosomal RNA, 891 nt
Filed under: Microbacterium natoriense
Lineage: Bacteria; Bacillati; Actinomycetota; Actinomycetes; Micrococcales; Microbacteriaceae
Description: bacterial SSU rRNA
Rfam family: Bacterial small subunit ribosomal RNA
Source: RNAcentral
CUGCCCCUGACUCUGGGAUAAGCGCUGGAAACGGCGUCUAAUACUGGAUACUAGCAAACUCCUCAUGGCCAGUUGUUGGAAAGAUUUUUUGGUUGGGGAUGGGCUCGCGGCCUAUCAGCUUGUUGGUGAGGUAAUGGCUCACCAAGGCGUCGACGGGUAGCCGGCCUGAGAGGGUGACCGGCCACACUGGGACUGAGACACGGCCCAGACUCCUACGGGAGGCAGCAGUGGGGAAUAUUGCACAAUGGGCGGAAGCCUGAUGCAGCAACGCCGCGUGAGGGAUGACGGCCUUCGGGUUGUAAACCUCUUUUAGCAGGGAAGAAGCGAAAGUGACGGUACCUGCAGAAAAAGCGCCGGCUAACUACGUGCCAGCAGCCGCGGUAAUACGUAGGGCGCAAGCGUUAUCCGGAAUUAUUGGGCGUAAAGAGCUCGUAGGCGGUUUGUCGCGUCUGCUGUGAAAUCUGGGGGCUCAACCCCCAGCCUGCAGUGGGUACGGGCAGACUAGAGUGCGGUAGGGGAGAUUGGAAUUCCUGGUGUAGCGGUGGAAUGCGCAGAUAUCAGGAGGAACACCGAUGGCGAAGGCAGAUCUCUGGGCCGUAACUGACGCUGAGGAGCGAAAGGGUGGGGAGCAAACAGGCUUAGAUACCCUGGUAGUCCACCCCGUAAACGUUGGGAACUAGUUGUGGGGUCCAUUCCACGGAUUCCGUGACGCAGCUAACGCAUUAAGUUCCCCGCCUGGGGAGUACGGCCGCAAGGCUAAAACUCAAGGAAUUGACGGGGACCCGCACAAGCGGCGGAGCAUGCGGAUUAAUUCGAUGCAACGCGAAGAACCUUACCAAGGCUUGACAUAUACGAGAACGGGUCAGAAAUGGUCAACUCUUUGGACAACUC